Molecule: long non-coding RNA, 943 nt
Organism: Hyla sarda
Lineage: Eukaryota; Metazoa; Chordata; Amphibia; Anura; Hylidae
Exons: 2
Source: RefSeq, a predicted model, not a curated record
CGGAGCUCAAGAGGAUAGUAGAGAUUGUGGAAGAAGGACCUGUGAGGAUUGUCAUGUGACAGCUGUGAGCGGUACUCAGCAGCGUAGAGGUGCAGUGUUAUGGCUAAGGACUAUCCCCUCCAGCUGACCCAGUUGUCUCCUCUUCUCCUGAAUGAUCCCCCAAGGAUGGACAAGGACAGGAAUGAGAUGACUAAGAGAAUAUUACACUUCACCUUGGAGAUCCUCCACCUGCUGACCGGAGAGGUGAGGUGACCCAUCUACAUUUCCACCAUUGUUGUCCCCAUCUACAUUUCCACCAUUGUUGUCCCCAUCUACAUUUCCACCAUUGUUGUCCCCAUCUACAUUUCCACCAUUGUUGUCCCCCAUCUACAUUUCCACCACUGUUGUCCUCCAUCUACAUUUCCACCAUUGUUGUCCUCAUCUACAUUUCCACCAUUGUUGUCCCCAUCUACAUUUCCACCAUUGUUCUCCCCAUCUACAUUUCCACCAUUGUUGUCCCCAUCUACAUUUCCACCAUUGUUGUCCCCCAUCUACAUUUCCACCAUUGUUGGCCCCCAUCUACAUUUCCACCAUUGUUGGCCCCAUCUACAUUUCCACCAUUGUUGUCCCCCCAUCUACAUUUCCACCAUUGUUGUCCCCAUCUACAUUUCCACCAUUGUUGUCCCUCAUCUACAUUUCCACCAUUGUUGUCCCCAUCUACAUUUCCACCAUUGUUGUCCCCAUCUACAUUUCCACCAUUGUUGUCCCCCCAUCUACAUUUCCACCAUUGUUGUCCCCAUCUACAUUUCCACCAUUGUUGUCCCUCAUCUACAUUUCCACCAUUGUUGUCCCCAUCUACAUUUCCACCAUUGUUGUCCCCAUCUACAUUUCCACCAUUGUUGUCCCUCAUCUACAUUUCCACCAUUGUUGUCCCCCAUCUACAUUUCCACCAUUGUUGUCCCCC